GGAAUAUUGCACAAUGGGGGAAACCCUGAUGCAGCGACGCCGCGUGAGUGAUGAAGUAUUUCGGUACGUAAAGCUCUAUCAGCAGGAACGAUCAUGACGGUACCUGACUAAGAAGCACCGGCUAAAUACGUGCCAGCAGCCGCGGUAAUACGUAUGGUGCAAGCGUUAUCCGGAUUUACUGGGUGUAAAGGGAGCGUAGGUGGCUUGUCAAGCCAGAAGUGAAAACCCGGGGCUCAACUCCGCGGAUUGCUUUUGGAACUGAUGGGCUGGAGUGCAGGAGGGGUAAGCGGAAUUCCCAGUGUAGCGGUGAAAUGCGUAGAUAUUGGGAAGAACACCGGAGGCGAAGGCGGAUUACUGGACUGUAACUGACACUGAGGCUCGAAGGCGUGGGGAGCAAACA
This 400-nucleotide ribosomal RNA is filed under the name uncultured bacterium. RNAcentral's name for it is "bacterial SSU rRNA". It matches the Rfam family "Bacterial small subunit ribosomal RNA", at positions 358 to 774 of the family's 1533-position model. The record is from RNAcentral.